Molecule: ribosomal RNA, 465 nt
Filed under: uncultured bacterium
Lineage: Bacteria
Description: bacterial SSU rRNA
Rfam family: Bacterial small subunit ribosomal RNA
Source: RNAcentral
CGAGGACGACGCUGGCGGCGUGCUUAACACAUGCAAGUCGAACGGUAAGGCCCUUCGGGGUACACGAGUGGCGAACGGGUGAGUAACACGUGGGUGAUCUGCCCUGCACUUCGGGAUAAGCCUGGGAAACUGGGUCUAAUACCGGAUAGGACCAUGGACUUCACGGUUUGUGGUGGAAAGCUUUUGCAGUGUGGGAUGGGCCCGCGGCCUAUCAGCUUGUUGGUGGGGUAAUGGCCUACCAAGGCGACGACGGGUAGCCGGCCUGAGAGGGUGUCCGGCCACACUGGGACUGAGAUACGGCCCAGACUCCUACGGGAGGCAGCAGUGGGGAAUAUUGCACAAUGGGCGCAAGCCUGAUGCAGCGACGCCGCGUGAGGGAUGACGGCCUUCGGGUUGUAAACCUCUUUCAAUAGGGACGAAGCGCAAGUGACGGUACCUAUAGAAGAAGCACCGGCCCACUACGUG